This 858-nucleotide ribosomal RNA is filed under the name uncultured euryarchaeote. Its description in RNAcentral is "bacterial SSU rRNA". It matches the Rfam family "Archaeal small subunit ribosomal RNA", at positions 1 to 879 of the family's 1478-position model. The record is from RNAcentral. Lineage: Archaea; Methanobacteriati; Methanobacteriota.
UUCCGGUUGAUCCUGCCGGAGGCGACCGCUUUGGGAGUUCGAUUAAGCCAUGCGAGUCGUGAGUCUUAGGGACUCGGCAUACUGCUCAGUAACACGUGGAUAACCUGCCCUAUCGUCUGGAAUAACCUCGGGAAACUGAGAAUAAGGCCGGAUAGUUCACAAUGCCUGGAACGGUUUGUGAAUCAAGGUAGGAUGGGUCUGCGGCGUAUCAGGUUGUAGGGGGUGUAAAGGACCCCCUAGCCUUCGACGCGUACGGGUGUUGGGAGACAUAGCCCGGAGAUGGAUUCUGAGACACGAAUCCAGACCCUACGGGGUGCAGCAGGCGCGAAAACUUCACACUGCAGGAAACUGUGAUGAGGGAACUCCUAGUGCAUGCACUAUGUGUAUGUAGAUCCUACUCUUAACAAGUAGAGGGAAAGGGCUGGGAAAGACCGGUGCCAGCCGCCGCGGUAAUACCGGCAGCUCAAGUGGUCGUCGCUUUUAUUGGGCCUAAAACGUCCGUAGCCUGAUUGGUAAAUCUGUGGGUAAAUCAAUCCGCUCAACGGAUUGAAUUCUGCAGAGACUGCCAGACUAGGGACCGGGAGAGGUGUGGGGUACUCGAGGGGUAGGGGUAAAAUCCUGUCAUCCUUCGAGGACCACCAGUUGCGAAGGCGCCACACUGGAACGGAUCCGACGGUCAGGGACGAAGCCUAGGGGCACGAACCGGAUUAGAUACCCGGGUAGUCCUAGGUGUAAACGCUGUGAACUUGGUGUCGGGGGUCCGCAAGGGGUCCCCGGUGCCGGAGUGAAGAUGUUAAGUUCACUGCCUGGGGAGUACGGUCGCAAGGCUGAAACUUAAAGGAAUUGGCGGGGCAGCAC